Molecule: non-coding RNA, 653 nt
Organism: Struthio camelus australis
Lineage: Eukaryota; Metazoa; Chordata; Aves; Struthioniformes; Struthionidae
Source: RefSeq, a predicted model, not a curated record
ACUCGUAUAUUAUUGUGCUCCCAAUGCUGUCCUUUUGCCAUUCAGAUUCUUCAAGGUAAUGAAAAGCAGUUUUCCUUCUGGCAACAGACUAUCAGCAUAAAUGAGCUAGUGACAGCAUGCCCCUGCAUACCUGCUGCGGGCGAUGAGAGAGGUGAGUGCCUCCCAUCUGCCAGUCGUCAUCAUAAGAGCCACAUAAGGGCUGCCCUUUCCUCCGAAGCACUAAUGUCUGCAGGUGAAGAUUCUUGACCUCUGUGGCUGUCAGCACAUAACUUCGGUGUGUCAGAUCCAGAUCUGCCUUGAACUGCCGGCUCAUGGAAGUUGCCCAGUCCACAGCAAAACUGUUGCCUGAACUGUCACAGCACCAGGAUGCACUCAGCUUUCCUGGAGCUGCCACACAUCGUCUCAUCCCUCCUCUAGGAGCAGCACUGUCAGUGCUGGCUGGGAGCAGACUUGGGCUACGUUUGCUGUGCAGCUGCGGCUAACCGAGGUGAGCCUGCUGGAGAGGUGAUGGGAACAGCCAGCACAAGGAUGGAGACACUGUGCAGCCGACGCGCAGGAUGGGGCUGCUCGGCCGCGGACAGAGGAGGAGGAGGAGCAGCGCCGGAUCUCUCUUGGUAGUGCCUGUCCUGCUGCCACUGCUGGUUUGGUUUAAA